AUUGAACGCUGGCGGCAGGCCUAACACAUGCAAGUCGAACGGUAACAGGAAACAGCUUGCUGUUUCGCUGACGAGUGGCGGACGGGUGAGUAAUGUCUGGGAAACUGCCUGAUGGAGGGGGAUAACUACUGGAAACGGUAGCUAAUACCGCAUAACGUCGCAAGACCAAAGAGCGGGACCUUCGGGCCUCUUGCCAUCGGAUGUGCCCAGAUGGGAUUAGCUAGUAGGUGGGGUAACGGCUCACCUAGGCCACGAUCCCUAGCUGGUCUGAGAGGAUGACCAGCCACACUGGAACUGAGACACGGUCCAGACUCCUACGGGAGGCAGCAGUGGGGAAUAUUGCACAAUGGGCGCAAGCCUGAUGCAGCCAUGCCGCGUGUAUGAAGAAGGCCUUCGGGUUGUAAAGUACUUUCAGCGGGGAGGAAGGGAGUAAAGUUAAUACCUGUACUCAUUGACGUUACCCGCAGAAGAAGCACCGGCUAACUCCGUG
This 490-nucleotide ribosomal RNA is filed under the name uncultured bacterium. RNAcentral's name for it is "partial 16S ribosomal RNA". It matches the Rfam family "Bacterial small subunit ribosomal RNA", at positions 30 to 507 of the family's 1533-position model. The record is from RNAcentral.